UAGGGAAUCUUCCACAAUGGACGAAAGUACUGAUGGAGCAACGCCGCGUGAGUGAAGAAGGUUUUCGGAUCGUAAAGCUCUGUUGUUGGUGAAGAAGGAUAGAGGCAGUAACUGGUCUUUAUUUGACGGUAAUCAACCAGAAAGUCACGGCUAACUACGUGCCA
This 164-nucleotide ribosomal RNA is filed under the name uncultured bacterium. RNAcentral describes it as "partial 16S rRNA". It matches the Rfam family "Bacterial small subunit ribosomal RNA", at positions 355 to 510 of the family's 1533-position model. The record is from RNAcentral.